UCCUGGGUAGCUCAGCUGGUAAAGAACCUGCCUGAAAUGCAGGAGACCCUUGUUCAAUUCCUGGGUCAGGAA
RNAcentral lists this transfer RNA (72 nucleotides) under Ovis aries (sheep). It matches the Rfam family "tRNA". From Rfam's summary of the family: Transfer RNA (tRNA) molecules are approximately 80 nucleotides in length. Lineage: Eukaryota; Metazoa; Chordata; Mammalia; Artiodactyla; Bovidae. The record is from Rfam by way of RNAcentral.